RNAcentral lists this long non-coding RNA (1922 nucleotides) under Astyanax mexicanus (Mexican tetra). RNAcentral's name for it is "lncRNA (ENSAMXG00005010035.1)". Lineage: Eukaryota; Metazoa; Chordata; Actinopteri; Characiformes; Acestrorhamphidae. The record is from RNAcentral.
GAAAAACACAAUUUACUUUGAAAUGUGUGCAUCAUCGAGACCUCCAUUUAAAAUGUGUUUUACUCACAUAUAAGUUAAUGCUUUUAGCUAAAACUAUAUAUUUUUUUAAAUCUGUCCACACUGCACGCUCAAAACAGAUUUUUGUUUGUUAUUUAGUGGUAGUAAAUGAGUCUACUGGGGGUGGAUUAUAAUCUUUAAGUGAUUUCAUUACUCGUUUUAGUAGGUCCAUCAGUUUAAUAAAUGAGUGGCAGGAACUUUCCUCAGCAGUCAGUGUUCAUUAGAUGCACAUUCAAAUUCAUUCACAGUUUUAAUGAAUCUGAGCAUGGCAUGCUCCUCAUUUGCUCUGAAAGCUGUCAAAUGUGAGAUGUAUUUGGCUGUGAAUGCAGAUUUGCAAAAUUGAUGUAAUUUGUAUUUGGCAGGCUGUAUUUGGCUUUUUAUUAUCACUGAGAAUAUUCUGCUCAAAUUCACAAUCUGUUGUUACCAUUAGCAGUGUUCAUUAUCCAGACAGCAGGCAAGAGCUCUAACCGCAUGGAGGACUUAACACUUGUUUAACACUGCAGCUGUUGAGCUCUUAGACAAUAGAUUUUGACAUAAAAGCCCUCAACAGUGUUUACUGAAUAAGAAGCAGAAGUGUGUGGAUGUAAGAAGCCACCAAUGUAAUGGACAAAGCCCCACAUUCUGCUUCCUCUCUACUCUGCCUGUUUGUAACUCGGCCUGUGAUCUGCUUUUAUGGCGCAUUUCUUGCGCUGAGCUGUGAGUUUUAGUUGGCAAACACAGGUGAUGCUUCAGGUUAUCUAUAAAUUCUAGAACUCACCUGCCAGUAUCAGAGACACUGACUAGGCUACCAUGAACCUGAUGCACCUCAGGAUUUUCAUACUGUGCUUGUAAGUAUACUCCUUGUUGCAUAAAAAAUACAUUUAGAAUGGAUUAAUGAUGUGAAUUAAGGACUAGCAUGAUAACUGAUGUACGUUCUAAAAAAAGUAUAUUGCUGUGUUUGUCUUUAUCCACACAGGUAUUUUGUCUUGCCUGUAAGUGGCAAUGUUUUGCCAGUCUACAAACUAGACUGGAUAGACAGCCCUCCUGCAGAUACUGCUGAGGGGGAUGUGGAAUGCUUCUCUGAAUAUAUGGAGCUCUGGAUCCAUAGAAUGAGGAUUGAGGGACUGAGGCUAUGGCUUUCUACAAUUUUGAGGAUUCAAGUUUCACUUACAUCUCUGGAGAGCCUAAACCAUCAGCUGUCUGCAUGUGGGUUUGGCCUGCAUAAAGAUCCUGACAGGAACUACAUCUUCAGAGUCAUGUACAGUGGGUGCUUUGUACAGUUGGAGGUAAAGCCUAAUAUUUCUGAAUUACAUAAAUAUAGCAAUGGUUGCUUUUCACUUUAUUAUACUUGUUCAGGUAUAGGAAAAGAUAAUUCACUACACUGCCAUGAAUUUAUUUACAAAACCAUCCAAUCUGCUUUUUCCAGCGUGGACAUUAUGUGAUUGCACUGAAUUUGAUGAAGAGAAUAAGCCGUUUUGGAGGAAGGGCACAUAAUUAUGUAAUGAAGUGUCCUGUAGUGGCAGCACCACCCAACAGAGAGCAUAUUCAGUGUGACCCUGAUUUCAUACAGGUAGGCUUUUAAAACCUUUUUUUAGGACUGUAUGACUUUUUUUACUGCAGCACAAAACAACCUGCAAGUUCUUCUAUGUCUACUUCUCUUCUUAAAUGUGUAACCACAUUUUUCCAAAGGUUACCAGAGAGAUCCCAAUGGACAGUUGGAACAAUGAGGUAAUGACCUUCACAGAGUCAUAGGUGUUUGACAUAUAAGGUCAGUGGUUCCUAAACCCAGUCAAAGAAACGAACUAUGCAAAAUAUCUGUGCUUGUCUACAUCUAAUACACCCAUAGUAAACCAUAGCAAAUUAAAAAAGCUAAUUACUAAGCUCCA